CCAGACUCCUACGGGAGGCAGCAGUGAGGAAUAUUGGUCAAUGGCCGGAAGGCUGAACCAGCCAAGUCGCGUGAGGGACGACUGCCCUAUGGGUUGUAAACCUCUUUUAUAAGGGAAGAAUAAAUGCUACGUGUAGCAUGAUGCCUGUACCUUAUGAAUAAGCACCGGCUAAAUACGUGCCAGCAGCCGCGGUAAUACGUAUGGUGCGAGCGUUGUCCGGAUUUACUGGGCGUGAAGGGGGCGCAGGCGGCGCGCCAAGCCCGAUGUGAAAGCCCGGGGCUCAACCCCGGGACUGCAUUGGGAACUGGCGUGCUGGAGUGCCGGAGGGGCAGGCGGAAUUCCUGGUGUAGCGGUGAAAUGCGUAGAUAUCAGGAGGAACACCGGUGGCGAAGGCGGCCUGCUGGACGGCAACUGACGGUGAGGCGCGAAAGCGUGGGGAGCAAACAGGAUUAGAUACCCCCGUA
RNAcentral lists this ribosomal RNA (464 nucleotides) under uncultured bacterium. Its description in RNAcentral is "bacterial SSU rRNA". It matches the Rfam family "Bacterial small subunit ribosomal RNA", at positions 331 to 792 of the family's 1533-position model. The record is from RNAcentral.